AUGGUGUUUGAUGUGAACUUGACGAGGAUUGAACCUCUCCUUCACUACCAUCAGAGAUAGGAAAGCUAUGGGAAAAGUGAUGAUUGUAUUCGAUGAGAAAAUUACAAGAUCUAGGCUAUGAUGAUGAUCUUAACUAAAACUAUGCUUGAGCCCUCAAACAUGAGAGGUUCACUAUCCAAAUUGUGAGAUUUUUUCUUUAAAUCCAAAAUCGAAAUUUAUGGGUUUGGUAAAAUUAGGGUUUAUGAAAUUUGGGGAUUUUGAAUUUUGUGUUUAGAAGAAGAUGGAAGUGAAAAUAUUUAAGGAAUUUGAAGGUUUAUUUGGAUGGACAAUUUUUUUGAUUUAAGGAAGAAGAUGAAGAUGAUGAAUAUGAGGAUGAAAUGUUUAUAGGAUUUAUGAAUUUAUUUAUUAAAAAGUAUUUUAUAAAACAAAGUUAUUAAUAAAAUUAAAAUUUUCAUGUUUUUUUAAUAGAAAAAUUAACUUG
RNAcentral lists this long non-coding RNA (481 nucleotides) under Medicago truncatula (barrel medic). RNAcentral's name for it is "lncRNA gene16784". Lineage: Eukaryota; Viridiplantae; Streptophyta; Magnoliopsida; Fabales; Fabaceae. The record is from RNAcentral.